This 253-nucleotide ribosomal RNA is filed under the name uncultured bacterium. RNAcentral describes it as "partial 16S ribosomal RNA". It matches the Rfam family "Bacterial small subunit ribosomal RNA", at positions 524 to 776 of the family's 1533-position model. The record is from RNAcentral.
UACGGAGGGGGCUAGCGUUGUUCGGAAUUACUGGGCGUAAAGCGCACGUAGGCGGCUCUGUAAGUUAGAGGUGAAAGCCCGGAGCUCAACUCCGGAAUUGCCUUUAAGACUGCAUCGCUCGAAUCAUGGAGAGGUGAGUGGAAUUCCGAGUGUAGAGGUGAAAUUCGUAGAUAUUCGGAAGAACACCAGUGGCGAAGGCGACUCACUGGACAUGUAUUGACGCUGAGGUGCGAAAGCGUGGGGAGCAAACAGG